This 214-nucleotide ribosomal RNA is filed under the name uncultured bacterium. RNAcentral's name for it is "partial 16S ribosomal RNA". It matches the Rfam family "Bacterial small subunit ribosomal RNA", at positions 1287 to 1500 of the family's 1533-position model. The record is from RNAcentral.
CCCAGUUCGGAUUGCAGUCUGCAACUCGAGUGCAUGAAGCUGGAAUCGCUAGUAAUCGCGGAUCAGAAUGCCGCGGUGAAUACGUUCCCGGGUCUUGUACACACCGCCCGUCACACCAUGGGAGUCGGGAAUGCCCGAAGCCGGUGGCCCGAUCGAAAGAAGGGAGCCGUCGAAGGCAGGCCGGAUGACUGGGGUGAAGUCGUAACAAGGUACC